Molecule: small RNA, 793 nt
Filed under: Pongo abelii (Sumatran orangutan)
Lineage: Eukaryota; Metazoa; Chordata; Mammalia; Primates; Hominidae
Description: processed transcript
Source: RNAcentral
GGGGUUGGGUCUGGGAGAUUUGCCCUUUCCCGCAGUUGGUUUCCACCUUCCAAGGAUCUCACAGAUUCCUCCUAUAUUCCUCCCAGCGACGUCAGAGAAGGCCCAAGGCCGAGACUCGUGAGGGGGCUGUGCUGACCUAGGCUGGCCGAGUCAGGUGCCUUAGGGGAGGAUCCAGGAAUGGAUACCUCGCCCUUCCGUGCUCGCACACUCUGGCUCUUAUCGCUCUGAAGACUCUUUAAUUAGAUUUCUCCCCUUUCCAAUGCGUUCACUUUUCUACAGAUGAGUCUCUUGGUGGAGACAGUUACCCUACCUGGUCCAUGUCUCCCUAACCAUCCGGAAGGCUAACUUCCACUUUUCAAGCAGCUUUGGCUGGUUUCCCUCCUUGAUUUCUCUGGCUGCCCCUACCAUUGCUUGUCUCACUGCCCCUGUCUUUUCUUAGGGCAUUUUUCUGGCUGGUCUCCCUGCUCCUGGCCUCUGUGGUCUGGUUCAUCUUGGUCCAUGUGACCGACCGGUCAGAUGCCCGGCUCCAGUACGGCCUCCUGAUUUUUGGUGCUGCUGUCUCUGUCCUUCUACAGGAGGUGUUCCGCUUUGCCUACUACAAGCUGCUUAAGAAGGCAGAUGAGGGGUUAGCAUCGCUGAGUGAGGACGGAAGAUCACCCAUCUCCAUCCGCCAGAUGGCCUAUGUUUCUGGUCUCUCCUUCGGUAUCAUCAGUGGUGUCUUCUCUGUUAUCAAUAUUUUGGCUGAUGCACUUGGGCCAGGUGUGGUUGGGAUCCAUGGAGACUCACCCUAUUA